GAUGAACGCUGGCGGCGUGCCUAAUACAUGCAAGUCGAGCGAACGGACGCGAAGCUUGCUUCUCUGAUGUUAGCGGCAGACGGGUGAGUAACACGUGUAUCACCUACCUAUCAGACUGGUAUAAUUUCGGGAAACCGGCGCUAAUCCCGGAUAAUAUUUUGAUCCGCAUGGUUCAAAAGUGAAAUACGGUCUUGCUGUCACUUCUCGCUGGAUCCGGGCUGCUUUAGCUAGUUGGUAAGGUAACGGCUUACCAAGGCAACGAUGCAUAGCCGACGGGAGAGGGUGAUCGGCCACAUGGGAACGGAACCACGGACCUGACUCCUACGGGAGGCAGCAGUAGGGAAUGGUAGGCAAUGGGCGAAAGCCUGACGGAGCAACGCCGCGUGAGUGAUGAAGGUCUUCGGAUCGUAAAACUCUGUUAUGAGGGAAGAACAUAUGUGGAAGUAGCUGUGCAGAUCUUGACGGUACCGAAUCAGAAAGCCACGGCUAACUACGUG
RNAcentral lists this ribosomal RNA (497 nucleotides) under uncultured bacterium. RNAcentral describes it as "partial 16S ribosomal RNA". It matches the Rfam family "Bacterial small subunit ribosomal RNA", at positions 28 to 507 of the family's 1533-position model. The record is from RNAcentral.